Molecule: non-coding RNA, 390 nt
Organism: Danio aesculapii
Lineage: Eukaryota; Metazoa; Chordata; Actinopteri; Cypriniformes; Danionidae
Source: the annotation of a RefSeq genome assembly
AUGGCUUUCUGGAAAAGUGGCAUCCUGAUCAUAAUUAUAUUUAUCAAGGGAUGUGAUUCUCAGGAUAAAGUUGAUCAGCACACAAAGACUCAAUCUGCUUUUGAAGGUGAUACUGUAACCAUUGACUGCACAUAUCAGACUUCUUAUACAGGCCCGACUCUAUUCUGGUACCAGCAGAAAGUCAAUGGAGUCCCAAAAUACAUGCUGAAUAAAUUCUCUACAACUGGACACACUGAGGAUGAAUUCAAGGAGAGAUUUAACGCAACUCUCAACAAAACUUCAGUUCCUCUGUCAAUCAAGGAUGUGCGAGUGUCAGACUCUGCUGUAUAUUACUGUGCUCUGAGGCCCACAGUGACUCAAACACACUCAACACUCACACAGAAACACUAA